This 737-nucleotide long non-coding RNA is filed under the name Helianthus annuus (common sunflower). Its description in RNAcentral is "sRNA HanXRQr2_Chr16g0737571". The record is from RNAcentral. Lineage: Eukaryota; Viridiplantae; Streptophyta; Magnoliopsida; Asterales; Asteraceae.
UAUCAAACUCAUAAAACCCUUUCAUCUUCUACAUUCAGAAUUUUCUUAGGUCCCAAAUCACUUUGCAAACCUCAAGACAUCACACUCUCAUCACUCCAUCCCCCCCCCCCUCGUUGACGACGGCAGCAGACGAAGACUGAGCGGCGGCGGUGGUGGGUCGGAACGCCGGCGAUAACCCGCUUUCUUUUCUCACGAAGCACCCUUGCACCCUAUUACUCCCGCGACGAAGAUCAGAAGACGAGAGAGAGAGAGAGAGAGAGAGAGAGAGAGAGAGAGAUACCGAGGAGGUAGACGACGGCGGUAGCGCCGACAUACGCGACGGCAGCGGUGGAGGCGUGGCGGUGGUUCUGGUGACAUUCCGACGGCGACACCGGUGGCGAUGGUGUUUUGUUGGUUUCCCACAGAACUCCGGUCGCGACACGGUUCAAAGUUUCUGAAUUUGGGGUUGAUUUAAGCUCGUGUCUCAAUUUCGGUACGAGUCAGCCGGUCAACGAGACGGCAUCAGCGCCGGUGAAGGUGGUGGUGACUGUCUCAAGAAUCAUCUCGUCUUGUUCGGGUGACCUCGGUGUUCCAUCCUCCCAAACUCGUACACUCGUUAACACUUGGAUAAUCGGAAGACUUAGCAAUUCUGUUGACAGUCAAGAUGUUGAAGAAUCAAGUUAGGAUGGACUAGAUACCCAUUUUAAUAAUAAACCAUGUUUGUUGCAAUUUGUCCUUAUUUGAAUCAAUUGUUAUGA